Long non-coding RNA from Melopsittacus undulatus (budgerigar), 1151 nucleotides. RefSeq lists it as uncharacterized. The transcript has 2 exons. NCBI's taxonomy places the organism in Eukaryota, Metazoa, Chordata, Aves, Psittaciformes, Psittaculidae. The record is from RefSeq and is a predicted model, not a curated record.
ACAAAGAUGUUGAACAGAGAUAGCUCCAACACUGACCCGUGAGGAACACCACUCAACUCUGGUCUCCACCUGGACAUUGAGCCACUGAUCAUAACUCUUUGAGUGUGACCAUCCAGCCACUUCCUUAUUCACCAAGUGGUCCGUCUGUCAAAUCCAUGCCUCUCCAGUCAGAGACAAGGAUGUUGUGUUGGACAGUGUCAAAUGCCUUGCACAUGUCCAGAUAGAUGGAUGUUAGGGGACAUGUCUGUCUAGCUGAGGACAGUGCCUCUGAGAGCCACAAGUAUCUGCUGAUUUCUAGCCUACAUGCAGCUGCCUUUAGGUCUAAAAUAACUGAUUUGAACAUUCAUGGAUAAGGUGCUUGGUAUUAUCAGAAGCAAUAGAUCAGAGACACAAGUGGUGAAGAUGAUGAAUUGGAGAAUGAAAUUAGUAUGUCAAACAUUAAAGUUAUACUUCUUUUUAAUAUAAAUUAGGAGAGCUUUGGUCAGCCUAGAUAAAAAUAUUUUUCUGCCCUAGAGGUUCAUACUAUUUAGUAGUCUCCUGAAGGUGCCUGUGUAAGCAGCAAGAGUGAAAAAUUUAGGCAUGUAAGACACAUCAAUACUCCUGAGAAGUUCUGUUUCUGAUACUGACAAUAUGUUGUCUUUAAUACAUAUAAGGUGGCUUGAACUAAGAUUUUCCUAUUUUGAAAAAUUUGUCAACCAGAAAUGUCAUUUGGCAUGAAGGGUUUGGGAAGGGAAGAGCAAUUAAAUGACACAGCAGCCCUGAGGAGGACUUGAGGGUGUUGGUUGGUGAGAAGCUCCCCAUGACCUGGCAGUGUGUGCUUGCAGCCCAGAAACCAACCAUGUCCUGUGCUGCAUGACCAACAGGUCAAGGGAGAGGAUUCUUCCCUUCUACUCCACUCUGCUACAGAAGCAGAGAAACCUGAUUAACAAUGUUUCUUCCACUCACAAGUGACCAGCACCAAAAAAACUCAAGGUUAACUCUCCUGUCGUAACAGAAGAUGUGAUGAACGCUCUAUAUCACAUCUUCAUUCCUGCACAUGUGGAUCCUUUAAAGAAGAAUUAUGCCACUUUCCCCAGAAUAGCAGAAAUUUCUGUGAGAUAUAUUUGGAAAAAUGUAUAUUGGAAAGAGUAAUAUUAUUUAAAGAAAUUGUU